Molecule: non-coding RNA, 514 nt
Organism: Musa acuminata subsp. malaccensis (wild Malaysian banana)
Lineage: Eukaryota; Viridiplantae; Streptophyta; Magnoliopsida; Zingiberales; Musaceae
Source: RefSeq, a predicted model, not a curated record
AGCUCAAUCAUUGUGCAGCACUGUUUCAAACCCUUCUGCAAACUUCAAAUUAAGGGAGGAUCCUUUAUCUGGAAGCUCCCUGAAAGCACCACGCUCCUUCUUCUCCCUAUCUUCGUUCCGGAGCAAGGAAUCCAAGCCUCGGUGACGGUGGUUUAUCUGGAAGUGCAAAGUUAUGAUGCUCUACGGCUUAGGUACAUACUGUUACAAUUUUCCAAUAGAUACAACACGGCCGCUUUAACGCACAAUAUGCAUCCUUCCAUCUCCGUUCAUAUCUACAGGUUCUCAACUGCUGUCAUCUGUUAGUUUGUUGUAGAUUUGGUUGCCUAGAAUCAGUUAGGCUAUAAAUUGUCAGUUAGCAUGGAAUAUGUUGUAUGGCCGGAAGUUGUUGGCCCUUUUCAACUUGUGGUAUGUCUUUAUAUAUCUAAAUCUGUUGGAACAGAAACGAGCAAGAGUAUGGUAGUAAGCAAUUGAUUUGUACAAAGAGAAUCCGUGCUGUGUAUUCUUCUGUUUCUUC